GAUGAACGCUGGCGGCGUGCCUAAUACAUGCAAGUCGAGCGAACAGAUGAGGAGCUUGCUCCUCUGACGUUAGCGGCGGACCGGUGAGUAACACGUGGAUAACCUACCUAUAAGACUGGGAUAACUUCGGGAAACCGGAGCUAAUACCGGAUAAUAUAUUGAACCGCAUGGUUCAAUAGUGAAAGACGGUUUUGCUGUCACUUAUAGAUGGAUCCGCGCCGCAUUAGCUAGUUGGUAAGGUAACGGCUUACCAAGGCAACGAUGCGUAGCCGACCUGAGAGGGUGAUCGGCCACACUGGAACUGAGGCACGGUCCAGACUCCUACGGGAGGCAGCAGUAGGGAAUCUUCCGCAAUGGGCGAAAGCCUGACGGAGCAACGCCGCGUGAGUGAUGAAGGUCUUCGGAUCGUAAAACUCUGUUAUUAGGGAAGAACAAAUGUGUAAGUAACUAUGCACGUCUUGACGGUACCUAAUCAGAAAGCCACGGCUAACUACGUG
RNAcentral lists this ribosomal RNA (497 nucleotides) under uncultured bacterium. Its description in RNAcentral is "partial 16S ribosomal RNA". It matches the Rfam family "Bacterial small subunit ribosomal RNA", at positions 28 to 507 of the family's 1533-position model. The record is from RNAcentral.